RNAcentral lists this non-coding RNA (110 nucleotides) under Thermoactinomyces vulgaris. RNAcentral's name for it is "SAM-I sequence". It matches the Rfam family "SAM riboswitch aptamer (S box leader)". From Rfam's summary of the family: The SAM riboswitch is found upstream of a number of genes which code for proteins involved in methionine or cysteine biosynthesis in Gram-positive bacteria. The SAM riboswitch acts at the level of transcription termination control. The record is from RNAcentral. Lineage: Bacteria; Bacillati; Bacillota; Bacilli; Caryophanales; Thermoactinomycetaceae.
CUCUUAUCCAGAGUGGCGGAGGGACUGGCCCAAUGAAGCCCGGCAACCUGUUGGAUAUUCCAAUGUGGUGCUAAUUCCUGUCAGAGAGUGUUCUCUCUGAAAGAUGAGAG